RNAcentral lists this ribosomal RNA (424 nucleotides) under uncultured bacterium. RNAcentral's name for it is "bacterial SSU rRNA". It matches the Rfam family "Bacterial small subunit ribosomal RNA", at positions 29 to 438 of the family's 1533-position model. The record is from RNAcentral.
AACGAACGCUGGCGGCGUGCCUAACACAUGCAAGUCGUGCGAGAAAGUUCCUUCGGGAGCGAGUAAAGCGGCGCACGGGUGAGUAACACGUAGGUAACCUGCCCCCCAGUCUGGAACAACUAGAGGAAACUCUAGCUAAUGCCGGAUGAGACCACGAUCCCUUCGGGGGUUGCGGCCAAAGAUGGCCUCUACUUGUAAGCUAUCGCUGAGGGAUGGGCCUGCGGGCCAUUAGCUUGUUGGUGAGGUAACGGACUCACCAAGGCUGUGAUGGCUAGCUGGUCUGAGAGGAUGACCAGCCACACUGGGACUGAGACACGGCCCAGACUCCUACGGGAGGCAGCAGUGGGGAAUAUUGCGCAAUGGGCGAAAGCCUGACGCAGCGACGCCGCGUGGGUGAUGAAGGCCUGGUCGUAAGACCUGUCGC